This 22-nucleotide non-coding RNA is filed under the name Arabidopsis thaliana (thale cress). Lineage: Eukaryota; Viridiplantae; Streptophyta; Magnoliopsida; Brassicales; Brassicaceae. The record is from RNAcentral.
CCAGGGGGUCGAGUAACGUGGU